GCGCGUGCGCACUGUUAUUCUGGGCGGGGAAUCUGGCAGCCGCGAGGGACAAAGACCAGUAAGAGACGGAGGAAAGGAAGAAGCUUCCUGAAGGUGGAGUAGGAGGGAGAAGUUGGAAGGGCGACUUUCUUAGCCAAGUGAAAGGCAGUGUGGUAGAAGUUAACGAGGGAAAAUGUUGCGAAAAGACAGGGCAGGUAGAAAGAAAUGGAGUAGUGUUUUCAUUAUGAGUAGAGGAGAAGAGAGAUGAGUGCUGUUUUAGUAUGAAAUGUAGGUGCGGGCAGAGGAAUCUUUUUUUUGUGCAGCACGUGACGAAAAUAAAACCAAAAAGAAGGUUGAAAACUGGAUGACAAGGAUUUUGAAUCCUAGGAAAGACUCAGGGAUCCAAGAUUCUACCAUCCUCUCAUUUGACCUCCACAGUCAUUGAAGAAAGGGAAGAGAGGACUUUGGAAUCAUAUAAACUAUUAGGUUAAACCUGAAUGUCAGUCAUUUGCUCCUCCUGGAAUACAGCAAGUGGAAGCAGACCCUGUGCCUCAGCAACUGCAGGUGGAGUCCUGCAGACCUACCAACCAUGGGAGGGUACAGGCACACACAGGUGAUCAGCUCUGCCUGGUGUCCAUGGAGUAAAAUAAGUUAAAACACACACAAGAAGAGGAAAUGUUGACUUAGACAUCCAGGGAAGAUGAUGUGAAGACAGAGAAGUCAGUCAUCUAUAAGCCAAGAGAUCAUCCUCAGAAGAAACCAAACCUGCUGAUAUCUUGAUCUCAGACUUCUAGCCUUCAGAACUGACAAGACAUUCCAGGAUUGUCUUAUAAAAUACUCACUUAAUGAUUCUUCAGUGGUAUCUAGACUAUGGUCACAGUGAAAGAUCCUGUAGCUGUAAACAAUAGAUGACACAGCCAUAGUUGGCUGAAUCUGUGGUUGUCUGAACUGGUGGAUGUGGAACCAAUGGAAAUGAGCCAUUGAUGUAGAGUGACACAGAGCAGAAGAUAUCUUCAGAAAUCAGGUUCCACUUUUGGAUGAAAACCAUGUGUUAGCAAGGUGCAGGAAGAGAGCAGAAGUAUAAGACACAGAGAGGAAGCUGACUGUCCCUUGAGCAGGUUCAAGCUAGCAUGGGAAGAGCUGGGCUUGUUUAUAAACUGAGAUGAAUACUCCAUGGAAAAGGAGUAACUGAAGAAGAGAGACAACAGUAGAGACAAGGAAAAUAACCGAUGGAUCAAAUCCCAGAGGAGGCCCUUUUACUUAUCAAGCAACUGGAUACCACUGAAUUCAUUGGAAGAUGUUUUAUGAGAACAAUAUCAGAUCUUAAAAAAAAUAUUUAAAAUGGAGGAAGGGUAGGGGACAGAACUGAGCAUGGCAAUUUAUUCAUACGUAUCCCUGCCAUCAAAAAGUUGAUCUAAAUUGAAUUUCUAAUCCUGGACUGCAGGAAGCAUUCCCCGAUGCCCCAUAGAAUGAGAUGUCCUUAUCUGUGCUCCACUGACAUGUGCCUUCAACUCCAUCAUGGCUCUUAUGGCUUGCUUUGUUUGUUUUGCCAGGUGUGUUGUCAAUUCAAACCACCAAUAAAGCAGGGACUAGA
Non-coding RNA from Microcebus murinus (gray mouse lemur), 1573 nucleotides. The record is from RefSeq and is a predicted model, not a curated record. NCBI's taxonomy places the organism in Eukaryota, Metazoa, Chordata, Mammalia, Primates, Cheirogaleidae.